UUUCCGUAGGUGAACCUGCGGAAGGAUCAUUACUGAUUUUUGAAUGAAGUUGUUCUGGUCUUUCGGGGCAAGUGAACGCUUCUCUCAAUCCAUCUUACACCUGUGCACCUAUCGGAGAAGACUUGGAUCUAAGUUAGGUCACGACGGCGAUCUACAGUCUCCUCUUUAUACCAAAUAACAGUUUUAGAAAGUCUUUUUUGCUGGAGGCAAACUUAAAUAAAUACAACUUUCAGCAACGGAUCUCUUGGCUCUC
Molecule: unclassified non-coding RNA, 253 nt
Filed under: plant metagenome
Description: partial contains small subunit ribosomal RNA, internal transcribed spacer 1, and 5.8S ribosomal RNA
Source: RNAcentral